UCUUCCUCAUCUCUCUGGGAAACAGAUCCACCAGGAUGGCAGGGGGAAAAUUGGGUAGUAGCUAUGCCAAUUAAUACAGCCUAGAAGACUGGAGAACCUCUGGCAUGCAAAUCUCAGAAAGAAAAUGAAAAUAGAUUUCCUUUCUACUUCUUUCUACUUUCUACUUCUACUUCUACAAAAUGUUUUAUUUUCUUCCCCUGGGUAAGUGGACCUCUGUCUAGCUGCAAGGAUAGUUUGUCAGUAGCUUAGGCAAGAUUCCCCAAAUGAAGAAUUUCUCUUUCUGAUAAUAUAAUUAAUAUCAGCACUUUGAUCUGUACUGAAAUUGCUGAUCAGAUAAUGAGUUGUUAAAUGGAGAAAAUGCUUCAGUAAUUACAGGAGAUAUUUUCACAGCAUCAAAAGUGGUAGAAUGUGGACCUGGCAAU
This 422-nucleotide long non-coding RNA is filed under the name Sarcophilus harrisii (Tasmanian devil). Its description in RNAcentral is "lncRNA (ENSSHAG00000027062.1)". Lineage: Eukaryota; Metazoa; Chordata; Mammalia; Dasyuromorphia; Dasyuridae. The record is from RNAcentral.